This 283-nucleotide unclassified non-coding RNA is filed under the name plant metagenome. Its description in RNAcentral is "partial contains small subunit ribosomal RNA, internal transcribed spacer 1, and 5.8S ribosomal RNA". The stretch from base 235 to 283 matches the Rfam family "5.8S ribosomal RNA", at positions 1 to 49 of the family's 154-position model. The record is from RNAcentral.
UUUCCGUAGGUGUACCUGCGGAAGGAUCAUUAAUGUAUAACCGAGGUGCGAGGGCUGUCGCUGACCCGAAAGGUCGUGCACGCCCGAGUGCCCUCACACACAUCCAUCUCACCCCUAUGUGCACCACCGCGUGGGUCCCCCUUUGGCUUGUUCGGAGGGGGGCUUACGUUUUCACACAAACUUUGUAUGCAGUGUAGAAUGUAUUUUUUGUUUUUGCGAUCACGCAAUCAAUACAGCUUUCAACAACGGAUCUCUUGGCUCUCGCAUCGAUGAAAAACGCAGC